Molecule: ribosomal RNA, 582 nt
Filed under: Triticum aestivum (bread wheat)
Lineage: Eukaryota; Viridiplantae; Streptophyta; Magnoliopsida; Poales; Poaceae
Description: partial small subunit ribosomal RNA
Source: RNAcentral
AUGGUGUUCUUCGCGCUGCUCGUGGGGGCAGAGCUCGACGGCCUCACCAACCUGCAGCCCCGCGGCGGCUGCGACGACCCCAGCUACCCUUACUACUUCAAGCUGCGGUGCGAGAGCUGCGGGGAGACGAGCGCCAAGACCACCUGCGUCUCCCUCGACGAGGUCGUCCAACUGCCCACUGGCAAAGGCACCGCCAAUCUCCUCCAGAAGUGCAAGUUAUGUUCGAGGGAGGGAUCAGUUGUGGUGAUUCCUGGGCAGGGAACACCACUGACUGCUGAGCAGAGCCAGAAAGGAGAGAUGACUUGUUUGAUGGUCUUUGAAUGCAGAGGCUAUGAACCUAUUGAGUUCGCUUUUGGUAAUGGCUGGAAGGCUGAAUCUCAUGCUUGUUAUGGUUUUAUUGGUGUUCUAAUAAUCUCCCUCUUCUUUAAGGUACAUGGGACACCAUUUGACAUUGAUCUUUCUGAAGGAGAGUUUGAUGAGUAUGAUGAGAAGGGAGAGUGCCCUGUCGCUCUAUCCAAGCUGCAGUCAACAUUCAAAGUGGUGAAGAAGCAGGGUUUUCAUGGGAAGACCAGAUAUGUCUAA